UCACUGGUUUUCUUCUGACGAA
This 22-nucleotide microRNA is filed under the name Caenorhabditis brenneri. RNAcentral's name for it is "cbn-miR-359". Its record names the gene cbn-miR-359. The record is from miRBase by way of RNAcentral. Lineage: Eukaryota; Metazoa; Nematoda; Chromadorea; Rhabditida; Rhabditidae.